GAUGCCUCAUGGCAUUGGCUCUUCUUAAGGGUGAUUUCUGUGACUUGCGGAACAAGCUCCAAACUUUUAUGCAGCUGGAGCAGCAGAUCGCGUCCUUGUUUAUUAUGUAGCAGUAAUCAAAGGAAAAAGAGCAUAACCUCGUGAGAUUCCUGGCAUGAUGGUGUGUAUGUAUCUCUGAAGUGACUCUGUUGUGUUGGGCUUUGGACGAGCACACAGAAUCACACCGUGAUUCUUGCUUCAGAAGUCGGGGCUCACCAACACCGUGGAAUGGAACUUGUUGUCUUUUCUAUCGAAUUAUAUAUCUGUUAACUCUAGUUAUCUAUGUUUCAUUGAUGGCCCAUAGGCUGUGCGUAAACUCUAUACCUAGUUGGUUGUUUGGUUGGUGGUUGCGGACUUGGUUAUGUUGUGUGUUGCUGGUUCUUUUUAUCAUCUUAUGAAAUAUUGGUGCCUCCCUUUGGGUGAGGAGUUGGUGCCUGUCUUGAGGUC
This is a long non-coding RNA of Triticum dicoccoides, 486 nucleotides long. RefSeq lists it as uncharacterized. The record is from RefSeq and is a predicted model, not a curated record. The transcript is spliced from 2 exons. NCBI's taxonomy places the organism in Eukaryota, Viridiplantae, Streptophyta, Magnoliopsida, Poales, Poaceae.